AAAUAUUAGUUAGUAAUAAUAACCAUUUAACAAUAACAUCAACAUUUAAAAAAAAUAAAAAUGAACUAAAAUGAAAUGAUCAAGAAAAUUAAGGAUAAAAAUGGAAGUUAUGUAAAUUAAAGGGUAAAAAUAUAAAUAGGGAAAUUAAAAAUGCUGGAAAUUAAAUAACGGAAAGUAAAAGGGUGGAACUAAAUAAACAGGGGAUUAAGAUGAAAUUUAAAAAAAAAAUUAAAGUAUGAAUUGCAAUAAAAACAAAUAAAGC
RNAcentral lists this long non-coding RNA (262 nucleotides) under Gossypium raimondii (Peruvian cotton). RNAcentral describes it as "long non-coding RNA (GRAI_LNC004346)". The record is from RNAcentral. Lineage: Eukaryota; Viridiplantae; Streptophyta; Magnoliopsida; Malvales; Malvaceae.